UGGAGUUUGACAUCAUAAAAGAAAAUAUAGAUAUACAUAAUAGGUUCCACUUGAUACCUUGCUUUCUAAGAGGGAUUCAGUUAGCUUCAGCUUUUCAUCCACUUUUGAGAGUUCAUCAGUCAGCUGGGGAAUAAAAGAAGCAAGGACAAGAGGUACAGAUAUCAGCAUCAAUUAAUUAUAUUUAAUUUAAUCUGCUGGAAGGUUAUGGCUACGAGUAACUUGAAUACAGUUUCAUUACACAUGGUGGUGCAAUAAAGUUGGAAACAGCAUCAAAAUUUCACAAGGCGCAUCAUAAGCAACCAUGAAAUCCACCAGCAAGUUAAGCGACUGCUUGGUAGUUGCCCACAAUGGCAUUGGAAAUGACUGAAAACAAUCAAAUUACACAUGGAAUCGAAAUGUGAGGCAUGCUGUGCUUCCUCGUAGCUUCUAAGUUAGGACAGAGGGACCAAACCUCGGUACCUAGCUUACUUCUGCAAGUACUGGUUCAGCAAAUCAAUUAAGACAACCCAGCAAAUGUAAUCAUCUUCGUUUACCACUAAAUGGAUCUACAUUUUCUCAAAUAGAUCUUAACCUAUGACUCAAGAUGCAUUGACAACAUUCCAUCAAAAAAUAUGCGGUGAACUACUGAACUACAUACGAGCUGAUCCUAUAUUGAAGAUGACCUAAACUAAUUAUCAGCCAAGGUCGUCGUAGAGGCACGCAACGCUUAGAAGCUCUAAUGUAAUGAUAACACGAAACAUGGCGCUACAUCAGAAGGAAACCUCUAAAAUUGUAACCUAAACUGGAGGAAGACGUCUACGUAACCAUGGUGAAAGAGAAACCGGAACAAAAUUGACCGAGACGGAAAUAAAAAAGGUAAAGGAGAGCGGAUAUGGAAAAGGAAAAGUGCCAGACCUCCUCAACGGCCUUCUCUCGAAGUCGUUCCGAUAGUC
Molecule: long non-coding RNA, 932 nt
Filed under: Linum usitatissimum (flax)
Lineage: Eukaryota; Viridiplantae; Streptophyta; Magnoliopsida; Malpighiales; Linaceae
Description: long non-coding RNA (LUSI_LNC002154)
Source: RNAcentral